AGCUCUAGGAAUGUUAAGGGAAAGCCAGGUAAUUUUUUUCAAAAAUGUCUCAUUGAAAUAUAUUCUUUACAAAUUCCACUAACAGCCACACUAUACACCAAGCUCGCUCAAACUUAUCUCCUCAAAACCAUUAACACAAGUCCAAAUUUCCGGUGGUUAAAAAUCUUGACAGGAAUCCGCUGGGAACGUAGACUCUACUGAUUGUCAACUGGUGACAAAUAGCAGUCAAUGCUGCAUUCAAGAUAAUGGUCCGCGCAGGUUUACUCAAUAGGGUGGUCGCCUCUUAAGAACGAUCCAGUUUCAAUUUGUAGGAGUUAAACAAAUAUCUACUCAAGUGCUACUCUUGGAGAGAAAACAUGGACUGAAACGUGCCUCAAAAUAAAUUUGAUAAUGCGAACGUACUGUUCAGGGAGGUCACAUUCAACACAAGUACAAACCGGAGAAGAAACAUCUUCAGAACUUUGCGCAAGUGUUCAUUCGUUGUUCUUCCCCUUACGAAAGGAAACCUUGAACACACGCAAAAACUGCCUGCUCUACUGGUUCACCAUUCGAGUUUUCGAAAAUAAAAGGAGAUACGACCACCUCGAGGCGAGUCACUGAGACUGUAGAAUUGGAGGAUCUAUCUAAACAGAGGGCAUAGCGAGUUAGGGUCGCAGCAAAGAACUUAAAGUGUUAGCCGAGCUUGCAUUCGACGAUAGGUUCUUCAACUUGGGGUAAGCUGAAGCAUGUUAAUGGUGGAAAAAAAAAAAGCACAACCUUUACUCUUGCGUUUCGUAGCUGAAAUUAUAAUCAAACAAAAUGUUUUCUGUAAUAUGUUGUUGUCGCUUGUGUGAGACUGUUUUAGUAGUUGUGACGAAGAUGAAAAUGAUCGAAUGAACGACAGGCUUUUGCACAGAGCAUAAGUUGGUUGAUAGUUGUGGUGAGAGAGACCUUUUUUCUUUCGGCGUGCCUUCGUUCGCACUGUUUCGAGAUUAAGACGAUGAGAAAGACAAAGUUCUCCAUUAAGUUUAGACUGCUUUUUUUGGUAAUUGAAGGUAGAAGCUGCCAUUAUAGUUUACUCUUUCCUUUCGUUAAAUUCAUUUGCCCAAAUACGCAAGAUGACAAGACAUGUUCGGAAAAAGUUUUAAUUUCGUCUCGAACUCUGUCAAGUAAUACAUGCACAAGUAGAACGUUUUGAGCUUUCUUUAAGUGCAUUGCGUUCACGACUGGGGGAAUCGAUAUUUCACGGCAAAAGUACCUGAUUUUGAUAAGUUUCUGGAAACAGGAAUCAGGAAGGAAUUUUAUAGAGCGAAUUGUGAACAUGUAUGAGCUUCUGAAGCAGAGCAAUUGCUCACUUCAGCAGACCAGUUUGCUUGUGCUGAACUUUAAGAUUUUCACAGCUCUCAUAGUUCGUUAUCUAGUCUUUGUUUCAGGCUCUAACUUCGAUUUGACUUCUUCGUGGUAACAAGCUCGCUUCGACAAGGCAGAGGUAGCAAUAAAUAAAAAAAUAUUCCGAAGAUAUAGGAAUAUCGGCAGACUACAGCUACAAUCAUGAAGGCGGCAUUGCCUAGACUAACCCUGGAUAUGUUUCAGUUGCCGAGGUUUCUACGCAGAAGUCCUCCACAAAACACCAGCAUUUCAGCCGAUGAAGGGUGGCACACUGAGGAACACGAACACUAUACAGCAAGGGUACUGAACUUCCACAAUACAGUCCCCAUAUUACAGCAGAAAGCAUUUAUAUCAGUUGUGCAUUAAGGUUUUCAGAAAUCAGCAGCGCAAAUGCCCAUGAACGAGAAAUCUUUAUAAAACAAUACCUAACUAGCUAAUCGCUUCUAGUACACUAUUCUUCUAAGAUUAGUUACCUUCAUUAAAAUUUAUUCCCCUAGUAAAACUAUUUUGGCGCAAACAUCGGGGAACCAACACAACGAACAAUUGUUAGAAAGAUGUUUACUUUUUCGUUAUGGAAGCUGAGUUAACCUACUUUCGCACCUUAAGGGACAUCCUUGACGUAUUCAGUACUUUAUCUAUAAUAGAAAUUCACCGUUAAUCAAAACAUUAGCAGCUCUGCGUGUUUGUACGUUAAGGGAAUAAAAGCGAAGGCGACAUUGUUGGGUGUUGAUAACGGACACGUCAGCACGUUCUACACCAAAUUAGGAAUGGACUUUGAAAUACGAUUAAAGAACUUCAGCUGUGUAACAACAACACAGCGUUGUGCGAUCAAAUUGAAGAGCAAUCUUCUUUUGAUGGAGCCAAGAACUUCGUUCUACUCCCGCUUACAUUUUAUUUCGCAGGAAGCAUUAUCGUGAUUAUUUCAGAUCUAAAAAAAAUCUGGAAAAUGUCAGGUAAUCUUAUCACAAUUAGGGAAUUAAUACAAUAUCAGUAGUUCUGAAAAACAAAGGUAUUGAAUUAUUAUCCCAAUAUCACAAGGGGAGUAAUAGCCAUAUAACAGUGACAAAAGGUCUCAGACAAUACGCAAUUCUGGCUGAAAAAGGAUGCUGAUAGCUUCAAAGAGAGAAGGGUAAAUAUUUAGCAUAUUUUAAACGGAUUAUCAAAAAAAAAUUCUUCAGUGAAUCUCCUGGGCUAAUCAGCGUGUACUUUUGAGUAACAUUUUUUUAAGGGAUGUUAUUUAGGGGGGUAGAGAGAGGCUUCAGUUAUUGUCAGGAACCAGAAAAUGUGCUCUGAGAGACAAUACAACAUUGAAAAGCGGCAAAUUGAUCCAAAAAGAGUUUCAUUUGCCAUCUCGGAGUUAAUACGGGGCCACUUUUUGUAUCUAAAGCGGAGGAAUUUCUGCAUUGUAAAACUCCCUGUUUACAUUUGGGUACCACAAAAGCAAUAAAGACGACAUCGCAAGUUCUCAGAAUAAAAAGAACAGUAAACUUGAA
RNAcentral lists this long non-coding RNA (2861 nucleotides) under Stylophora pistillata. Its description in RNAcentral is "uncharacterized LOC111325489". The record is from RNAcentral. Lineage: Eukaryota; Metazoa; Cnidaria; Anthozoa; Scleractinia; Pocilloporidae.